Molecule: ribosomal RNA, 274 nt
Filed under: uncultured bacterium
Lineage: Bacteria
Description: partial 16S ribosomal RNA
Rfam family: Bacterial small subunit ribosomal RNA
Source: RNAcentral
AUACGGAGGGUGCAAGCGUUAUCCGGAAUCAUUGGGUUUAAAGGGUCCGCAGGCGGAUUAAUAGGUCAGUGGUGAAAUCCUCUCGCUUAACGAGAGAACUGCCAUUGAAACUGUUAGUCUUGAAUUCGGUCGAAGUAGGCGGAAUGUGUCAUGUAGCGGUGAAAUGCAUAGAUAUGACACAGAACACCGAUAGCGAAGGCAGCUUACUAGACCUGGAUUGACGCUCAUGGACGAAAGCGUGGGGAGCGAACAGGAGUAGAAACCCUAGUAGUCC